GCUCCUCGUGGAACUCGUCCCUAGAAGGGGGGGUAAUGUCACGGACAUACAUAUAAUUACCUAUAUGAAUAGAUAAAAGUAUGUAAAAGUAGAUAAAAGUAGGUUAAUUGUGUAAUAUCUUCUAGAGAAGCUUCUUAGAAGCUUCAUAGACGCUGCUUUGACUUUAUAGGAGUCUAUAGUUGACUUUUAGGUUAGAAACUUGGUCAACAAGUUAGCCAUGUGCCACACAUGUUGGAAGCUUAAAGAACAAGCUAACUACGUGGUCCAUCCAUAGAAAACUUGCCUUGCAAGCAAAGGCAUGUGGCCUAGAAAGUCAACAUAUAUUGGAGGUCUUAUAGAACAUUGCCACGUGGCUUCUAGUUAGAUAGUAUAUAUAGAGACAAGAGUGAAGCCCUCUUCACUCUUGUCAACUCCUUUCUUGCUUCUAGUCUAGUUUCAAGGGUCUCUAGUUUUCUUGUAUUUUGGCAAUAGCCAUUCCACUUUCUUUCU
RNAcentral lists this long non-coding RNA (489 nucleotides) under Physcomitrium patens. RNAcentral describes it as "long non-coding RNA (PPAT_LNC007384)". Lineage: Eukaryota; Viridiplantae; Streptophyta; Bryopsida; Funariales; Funariaceae. The record is from RNAcentral.